GAUGAAGAACGUAGCGAAAUGCGAUAAGUAAUGCGAAUUGCAGAAUUCCGUGAGUCAUCGAAUCUUUGAACGCACAUUGCGCCCCUUGGUAUUCCAUGGGGCAUGCCUGUUCGAGCGUCAUUUGUACCUUCAAGCUCUGCUUGGUGUUGGGUGUUUGUCUCGCCUCUGCGUGUAGACUCGCCUUAAAACAAUUGGCAGCCGGCGUAUUGAUUUCGGAGCGCAGUACAUCUCGCGCUUUGCACUCAUAACGACGACGUCCAAAAGUACAUUUUUACACUCUUGACCUCGGAUCAGGUAGGGAUACCCGCUGAACUUAAGCAUAUCAAUAAGCGGAGGA
This 337-nucleotide unclassified non-coding RNA is filed under the name soil metagenome. Its description in RNAcentral is "partial contains 5.8S ribosomal RNA, internal transcribed spacer 2, and large subunit ribosomal RNA". The stretch from base 1 to 120 matches the Rfam family "5.8S ribosomal RNA", at positions 35 to 154 of the family's 154-position model. The record is from RNAcentral.